Molecule: transfer RNA, 74 nt
Filed under: Candidatus Dojkabacteria bacterium
Lineage: Bacteria
Description: tRNA-Asp
Rfam family: tRNA
About the family: Transfer RNA (tRNA) molecules are approximately 80 nucleotides in length.
Source: RNAcentral
GGAGUGGUAGCUCAACUGGUUAGAGCAUUCGCCUGUCACGCGAAAGGUUGCGAGUUCGAGCCUCGUCCAUUCCG